RNAcentral lists this ribosomal RNA (301 nucleotides) under uncultured bacterium. RNAcentral's name for it is "partial 16S ribosomal RNA". It matches the Rfam family "Bacterial small subunit ribosomal RNA", at positions 509 to 809 of the family's 1533-position model. The record is from RNAcentral.
CAGUCGCCGCGGGAAUACGUAGGUGGCAAGCGUUGUCCGGAAUUAUUGGGCGUAAAGGGCUCGCAGGCGGUUUCUUAAGUCUGAUGUGAAAGCCCCCGGCUCAACCGGGGAGGGUCAUUGGAAACUGGGAAACUUGAGUGCAGAAGAGGAGAGUGGAACUCCACGUGUAGCGGUGAAAUGCGUAGAGAUGUGGAGGAACACCAGUGGCGAAGGCGACUCUCUGGUCUGUAACUGACGCUGAGGAGCGAAAGCGUGGGGAGCGAACAGGAUUAGAGACCCCCGUAGUCCCUGUCUCUUAUAA